AGCGAACGCUGGCGGCAGGCCUAACACAUGCAAGUCGAACGAAGUCUUCGGACUUAGUGGCGGACGGGUGAGUAACACGUGGGAACGUUCCUUUAGGUUCGGAAUAACUCAGGUAAACUUGUGCUAAUACCGAAUGUGCCCUUCGGGGGAAAGAUUUAUCGCCUUUAGAGCGGCCCGCGUCUGAUUAGCUAGUUGGUGAGGUUAAGGCUCACCCAGGCGACGAUCAGUAGCUGGUCUGAGAGGUUGAUCAACAACAUUGGGACUUAGACACGGCCCAAACUCCUCCGGGAGGCAGCAGUGGGGAAUCUUGCGCAAUGGGCGAAAGCCUGACGCAGCCAUGCCGCGUGAAUGAUGAAGGUCUUAGGAUUGUAAAAUUCUUUCACCGGGGACGAUAAUGACGGUACCCGGAGAAGAAGCCCCGGCUAACUUCGUGCCAGCCGCCGCCGUAA
Molecule: ribosomal RNA, 449 nt
Filed under: uncultured bacterium
Lineage: Bacteria
Description: partial 16S ribosomal RNA
Rfam family: Bacterial small subunit ribosomal RNA
Source: RNAcentral